CCAGACUCCUACGGGAGGCAGCAGUGAGGAAUAUUGGUCAAUGGACGCAAGUCUGAACCAGCCAUGCCGCGUGCAGGAUGACGGCUCUAUGAGUUGUAAACUGCUUUUGUACGAGGGUAAACCCCGAUACGUGUAUCGGGUUGAAAGUAUCGUACGAAUAAGCAUCGGCUAACUCCGUGCCAGCAGCCGCGGUAAUACGGGGGAUGCGAGCGUUAUCCGGAUUUAUUGGGUUUAAAGGGUGCGUAGGCGGCGCUUCAGGUCAGCGGUGAAAUACCGGGGCUCAACCCCGGGGCUGCCGUUGAAACCGGAGCGCUAGAAUUCCGAUGCCGUCGGAGGAAUGUGUGGUGUAGCGGUGAAAUGCAUAGAUAUCACACAGAACACCGAUUGCGAAGGUAUCUGACGAAUCGGAGAUUGACGCUGAUGCACGAAAGCGUGGGUAUCGAACAGGAUUAGAUACCCUUGUAU
RNAcentral lists this ribosomal RNA (465 nucleotides) under uncultured bacterium. RNAcentral's name for it is "bacterial SSU rRNA". It matches the Rfam family "Bacterial small subunit ribosomal RNA", at positions 331 to 793 of the family's 1533-position model. The record is from RNAcentral.